GGUCUGAGAGGAUGAUCAGCCACACUGGGAUUGAGAUAUGCCCAGACUCCUACGGGAGGUAGUAGUGGGGAAUAUUGGAUAAUGGGUGAAAGCCUGAUCCAGCAAUGCCGCGUGUGUGAAGAAGGCCUGCGGGUUGUAAAGCACUUUCAGUGGGGAAGAAAAGCCUGAGGUUAAUAUUUUUGGGUUUUGAUGUUAUUUAUAGAAGAAGCACCGGCUAACUCCGUGUUAGUAGUUGUGGUAAUACGGAGGGUGCAAGCGUUAAUCGGAAUCACUGGGCGUAAAGCGCACGUAGGCGGCUAGGUAAGUCAGAUGUGAAAGUUUUGGGUUUAAUUUGGGAAUUGUAUUUGAUAUUGCCUGGCUUGAGUAUGGUAGAGGGGGGUGGAAUUUUAGGUGUAGUGGUGAAAUGUGUAGAUAUUUGGAGGAAUAUUAGUGGUGAAGGUGGUUUUUUGGAUUAAUAUUGAUGCUGAGGUGCGAAAGCGUGGGGAGUAAACAGGAUUAGAUAUUUUGGUAGUUUAUGUUGUAAACGAUGUCGACUAGCCGUUGGAUUUAUUUAAGGGUUUAGUGGCGCAGUUAAUGUGAUAAGUCGACCGCCUGGGAGUACGGCCGCAAGGUUAAAACUCAAAGGAAUUGACGGGGGCCCGCACAAGCGGUGGAGCAUGUGGUUUAAUUUGAUGCAAUGUGAAGAAUCUUACCAGCCCUUGAUAUCCUCGGAACUUAGCAGAGAUGUUUUGGUGUUUUUGGGAGUUGAGUGAUAGGUGUUGUAUGGCUGUCGUCAGCUCGUGUUGUGAGAUGUUGGGUUAAGUUUUGUAAUGAGUGUAACCCUUGUCCUUAGUUGCCAGUAUAUAAUGGUGGGAAUUUUAAGGAGACUGCCGGUGAUAAACCGGAGGAAGGUGGGGAUGACGUCAAGUCAUUAUGGCCCUUAUGGGCUGGGUUAUACAUGUGCUACAAUGGUCGGUACAGAGGGUUGCGAAGCAGUGACGUGGAGCCAAUCCCAGAAAACCGAUCGUAGUCCGGAUUGCAGUCUGCAACUCGACUGCAUGAAGUCGGAAUCGCUAGUAAUUGUGAAUUAGAAUGUUGUGGUGAAUAUGUUCCCGGGCCUUGUACACACCGCCCGUCACACCAUGGGAGUUGGUUGCACCAGAAGUAGAUAGCUUAACCUUCGGGAGGGCGUUUAUUAUGGUGUGAUCAAUGACUGGGGUGAAGUUGUAAUAAGGUA
RNAcentral lists this ribosomal RNA (1216 nucleotides) under metagenome. RNAcentral's name for it is "bacterial SSU rRNA". It matches the Rfam family "Bacterial small subunit ribosomal RNA", at positions 289 to 1498 of the family's 1533-position model. The record is from RNAcentral.